CGUUAGCGGCGGACGGGUGAGCAACACGUGGGUAACCUACCUAUAAGACUGGGAUAACUUCGGGAAACCGGAGCUAAUACCGGAUAAUAUUUCGAACCGCAUGGUUCGAUAGUGAAAGAUGGUUUUGCUAUCACUUAUAGAUGGACCCGCGCCGUAUUAGCUAGUUGGUAAGGUAACGGCUUACCAAGGCGACGAUACGUAGCCGACCUGAGAGGGUGAUCGGCCACACUGGAACUGAGACACGGCCCAGACUCCUACGGGAGGCAGCAGCG
Molecule: ribosomal RNA, 272 nt
Filed under: uncultured Staphylococcus sp.
Lineage: Bacteria; Bacillati; Bacillota; Bacilli; Caryophanales; Staphylococcaceae
Description: partial 16S ribosomal RNA
Rfam family: Bacterial small subunit ribosomal RNA
Source: RNAcentral